UGGGAAUUUUGGACAAUUGGGCGAAAGCCUGAUCCAGCAAUGCCGCGUGUGUGAAGAAGGCCUUCGGGUUGUAAAGCACUUUUGUCCGGAAAGAAAUCCUUGGCUCUAAUACAGUCGGGGGAUGACGGUACCGGAAGAAUAAGCACCGGCUAACUACGUGCCAGCAGCCGCGGUAAUACGUAGGGUGCAAGCGUUAAUCGGAAUUACUGGGCGUAAAGCGUGCGCAGGCGGUUUGCUAAGACCGAUGUGAAAUCCCCGGGCUCAACCUGGGAACUGCAUUGGUGACUGGCAGGCUAGAGUAUGGCAGAGGGGGGUAGAAUUCCACGUGUAGCAGUGAAAUGCGUAGAGAUGUGGAGGAAUACCGAUGGCGAAGGCAGCCCCCUGGCAAGUACUGACGCUCAUGCACGAAAGCGUGGGGAGCAAACAGGAUUAAUACCCUGGUAGUCCACGCCCUAAANGAUGUCAACUAGUUGUUGGGGGAUUCAUUUUCCUUAGUAACGUAGCUAACGCGUGAAGUUGACCGCCUGGGGAGUACGGUCGCAAGAUUAAAACUCAAAGAAUUGACGGGGUC
This 571-nucleotide ribosomal RNA is filed under the name uncultured bacterium. RNAcentral's name for it is "partial 16S ribosomal RNA". It matches the Rfam family "Bacterial small subunit ribosomal RNA", at positions 356 to 920 of the family's 1533-position model. The record is from RNAcentral.